GCCCCCGUGGGACGAGGCAGGAGCAUCCCGGCCCCCCCUCCGGCCCCGGGAUGGGGCAGGAGCAUCCCGACCCCCGCCAGCCCCGGGACAGGGCAGGAGCAUCCCAGCCCCCCCCCUGCCUCGGGACAGGGCAGGAGCAUCGUGGCCCCCCCCAGCCCCGGGACGGGGCAGGAGCAUCAUGGCCUGCCCCCAUGGGACAAGGCAGGAGCAUCGUGGCCCCCUCCAGCACCGGGAUGGGGCAGGAGCAUCGUGGCCCCCCCCCAGCCCCGGGACGGGGCAGGAGCAUCAUGGCCUGCCCCCAUGGGACAAGGCAGGAGCAUCCCGGCCUCCCUCAGCCCCAGGAUGGGGCGGGAGCAUCCCGGUCCCCGGCAGGCCGCCACGGCGCUCACCUCCAGGCCCUCGGGAUCGUCCGUGUGGGAGAUGCUGUACUGGGAGAGCUUGGGGCCGGCGGCAUCYGGGCGCUCGUAGAAGAUGAGCUGGGCCGGUCCUUCCUGCAAAGGCACCGGGUCAGGCGGGUGGGAGCCCCCCGGGACGGGCACGGGGCACGUUUGCUGCCCCGGGGCCUCCGCCCCACACUGCAGGGCCCCACGAGCGUCCUGAGGGGCUGCUGCACUCUCCCGUGCACUGCAUUGCAUCCCCUCGUCUGCACUGCACUCUCCCCCUCCCCGCAUGCACUGCGCUCUCCCAUGCACUGCAUCCUUCCCCGCCGUGUGUGCACUGCACUCUCCCAUGCACUGCGUGCUCCCCCUCCCUGCGUGCACUGCACUCUCCUGUGCACUGCACCCUCACCUGCCCGUGGGCACCGCAGCCUCCUCCAUGCACUGCAGGUCCCCUGACUCCCACGCACUGCACACCAUCCACCCCUCCCCGCAGGCACUGCACCCUCCCCUCCACCCCCUGGGCAACUCCCCCCCAGCUCCGGCACUGCACUUUCCCAGGCACCGCACCUCUCCUCCCAGCUCCAGGCACUGCAAGGCUCUGGGCACUGCAUCCCCCAGGGCAGACACUGCACUGCCUCCACCAUGCACUGCCCCAGCCCCCUGCACUGCACCUCNNNNNNNNNNNNNNNNNNNNNNNNNNNNNNNNNNNN
Molecule: long non-coding RNA, 1090 nt
Filed under: Dromaius novaehollandiae (emu)
Lineage: Eukaryota; Metazoa; Chordata; Aves; Casuariiformes; Dromaiidae
Description: lncRNA (ENSDNVG00000007054.1)
Source: RNAcentral